GGUGGAUGUAGCUCAGCUGGUUAGAGCGCUGGAUUGUGGUUCCAGAGGUCGCCGGUUCGAACCCGGUCUUCCACCC
This 76-nucleotide transfer RNA is filed under the name Zunongwangia atlantica 22II14-10F7. RNAcentral's name for it is "tRNA-His". It matches the Rfam family "tRNA". From Rfam's summary of the family: Transfer RNA (tRNA) molecules are approximately 80 nucleotides in length. Their secondary structure includes four short double-helical elements and three loops (D, anti-codon, and T loops). RNAcentral also lists the same sequence under 3 other names. The record is from RNAcentral. Lineage: Bacteria; Pseudomonadati; Bacteroidota; Flavobacteriia; Flavobacteriales; Flavobacteriaceae.